UACGGAGGGAGCGAGCGUUGUCCGAAGUUACUGGGCGUAAAGCGCGCGUAGGCGGGGAAUUAAGUGAGAAGUGAAAGGCUGGGGCUCAACCUCAUGCAGUGCUUCUCAUACUGGUUCUCUUGAGGGCGGUAGGGAGAAGUGGAAUGGCUGGUGUAGCGGUGAAAUGCGUAGAUAUCUGGAGGAACACCGGUGGCGAAGGCGGCAUCCUGGACCGGUAUUGACGCUGAGGCGCGAAAGCCAGGGGAGCAAACGGG
This 254-nucleotide ribosomal RNA is filed under the name uncultured bacterium. RNAcentral's name for it is "partial 16S ribosomal RNA". It matches the Rfam family "Bacterial small subunit ribosomal RNA", at positions 524 to 776 of the family's 1533-position model. The record is from RNAcentral.